AUCUUUCAAAGGGUGUAAAAUAGUUUUAUGUUUGAAAAAUUAGAAUUUUGACAUUUAUUUGGAUUCAAAUUUGCCGCUCUUGAAAUGCACCUGCUGUUGAUGGAGUGCACCACGGGUGGCACGCUAGCGUCCCACCUAGCCCAUAGAGGCUAGUAGCCAUGCUAUAUAUAGUGUAUCUAGUAGCCAUGCUAUAUAUAGUGUUUCUAGUAGCCAUGCUAUAUAUAGUGUUUCUAGUAGCCAUGCUAUAUAUAGUGUAUCUAGUAGCCAUGCUAUAUAUAGUGUUUCUAGUAGCCAUGCUAUAUAUAGUGUUUCUAGUAGCCAUGCUAUAUAUAGUGUUUCUAGUAGCCAUGCUAUAUAUAGUGUAUCUAGUAGCCAUGCUAUAUAUAGUGUAUCUAGUAGCCAUGCUAUAUAUAGUGUAUCUAGUAGCCAUGCUAUAUAUAGUGUAUCUAGUAGCCAUGCUAUAUAUAGUGUAUCUAGUAGCCAUGCUAUAUAUAGUGUAUCUAGUAGCCAUGCUAUAUAUAGUGUAUCUAGUAGCCAUGCUAUAUAUAGUGUAUCUAGAAGCCAUGCUAUAUAUAGUGUAGAGGCCAUGCUAUAUAUAGUGUAUCUAGUAGCCAUGCUAUAUAUAGUGAAGAGGCCAUGCUCUAUAUAGUGUAUCUAGUAGCCAUGCUAUAUAUAGUGUAGAGGCCAUGCUAUAUAUAGUGUAUCUAGUAGCAAUGCUCUAUAUAGUGUAGUGAACUAAACAGAGUGAGUACGGUAGUAAACAGAGUGAGUAGUGUGCGAAACAGAGUGAGUACGGUAGUGUGCUAAAAAGAGUGAGUACGGUAGUAAACAGAGUGAGUACGGUAGUUAACAGAGUGAGUACGGUAGUGUACUAAACAGAGUGAGUACGGUAGUGUACUAAACAGAGUCAGUACGGUAGUGUACUAAACAGAUUGAGUACGGUAGUGUGCUAAACAGAGUGAGUACGGUAGUGUGCUAAACAGAGUGAGUACGGUAGUGUACUAAACAGAGUGAGUACGGUAGUAAACAGAGUGAGUACGGUAGUGAACACAGUGAGUACGGUAAUGUGCUAAACAGAGUGAGUACGGUAGUGUAGUAAACAGAGUGAGUACGGUAGUGUACUAAAAAGAGUGAGUACGGUAGUAAACAGAGUGAGUAUGGUAGUGUGCUAAACAGAGUGAGUACGGUAGUGUAGUAAACAGAGUGAGUACGGUAGUGUACUAAACAGAGUGAGUACGGUAGUAAACAGAGUGAGUACGGUAGUAAACAGAGUGAGUACGGCAGUGUACUAAACAGAGUGAGUAUGGUAGUGUACUAAACAGAGUGAGUACGGUAGUGUGCUAAACAGAGUGAGUACGGUACUGUAGUAAACAGAGUGAGUACGGUAGUGUACUAAACAGAGUGAGUACGGUAGUGUACUAAACAGAGUGAGUACGGUAGUGUGCUAAACAGAGUGAGUACGGUAGUGUAGUAAACAGAGUGAGUACGGUAGUGUGCUAAACAGAGUGAGUACUGUAAUGUACUAAACAGAGUGAGUACGGUAGUAAACAGAGUGAGUACGGUAGUAAACAGAGUGAGUCUGGUAGUGAAGUAAACAGAGUGAGUACGGUAGUAAACAGAGUGAGUACGGUAGUGUACUAAACAGAGUGAGUACGGUAGUAAACAGAGUGAGUACGGUAGUAAACAGAGUGAGUACGGUAGUAAACAGAGUGAGUACGGUAGUAAACAGAGUGAGUACGGUAGUGAAGUAAACAGAGUGAGUACGGUAGUAAACAGAGUGAGUAUGGUAGUGUGCUAAACAGAGUGAGUACGGUAGUGUAGUAAACAGAGUGAGUACGGUAGUGUACUAAACAGAGUGAGUACGGUAGUAAAUAGAGUGAGUACGGUAGUAAACAGAGUGAGUACGGCAGUGUACUAAACAGAGUGAGUAUGGUAGUGUACUAAACAGAGUGAGUACGGUAGUGUGCUAAACAGAGUGAGUACGGUACUGUAGUAAACAGAGUGAGUACGGUAGUGUACUAAACAGAGUGAGUACGGUAGUGUACUAAACAGAGUGAGUACGGUAGUGUGCUAAACAGAGUGAGUACGGUAGUGUAGUAAACAGAGUGAGUACGGUAGUGUGCUAAACAGAGUGAGUACUGUAAUGUACUAAACAGAGUGAGUACGGUAGUAAACAGAGUGAGUACGGUAGUAAACAGAGUGAGUCUGGUAGUGAAGUAAACAGAGUGAGUACGGUAGUAAACAGAGUGAGUACGGUAGUGUACUAAACAGAGUGAGUACGGUAGUAAACAGAGUGAGUACGGUAGUAAACAGAGUGAGUACGGUAGUAAACAGAGUGAGUACGGUAGUAAACAGAGUGAGUACGGUAGUGAAGUAAACAGAGUGAGUACGGUAGUGUACUAAACAGAGUGAGUACGGUAGUGUACUAAACAGAGUGAGUACG
RNAcentral lists this long non-coding RNA (2443 nucleotides) under Salmo salar (Atlantic salmon). RNAcentral describes it as "lncRNA (ENSSSAG00000090321.1)". Lineage: Eukaryota; Metazoa; Chordata; Actinopteri; Salmoniformes; Salmonidae. The record is from RNAcentral.